This 253-nucleotide ribosomal RNA is filed under the name uncultured prokaryote. RNAcentral's name for it is "partial 16S ribosomal RNA". It matches the Rfam family "Bacterial small subunit ribosomal RNA", at positions 524 to 776 of the family's 1533-position model. The record is from RNAcentral.
UACGAAGGGUGCAAACGUUAUUCGGAAUCACUGGGCGUAAAGGGUGCGUAGACGGUAUGUUAAGUUCGUUGUUAAAGGCUCCGGCCCAACCGGAGUAUUGCGAUGAAAACUGGCAAGCUAGAGGGUGAGAGAGAGAAGUGGAAUUCCCGGAGUAGCGGUAAAAUGCGUGGAUCUCGGGAGGAACACCAAUGGCGAAGGCAGCUUCUUGGCUCAUACCUGACGUUGAGGCACGAAAGCGUGGGGAGCAAACAGG